RNAcentral lists this ribosomal RNA (402 nucleotides) under bacterium. RNAcentral describes it as "partial 16S ribosomal RNA". It matches the Rfam family "Bacterial small subunit ribosomal RNA", at positions 355 to 776 of the family's 1533-position model. The record is from RNAcentral.
UGGGGAAUUUUGCACAAUGGGGGAAACCCUGAUGCAGCGACGCCGCGUGAUUUAGAAGGCCUUCGGGUUGUAAAAAUCUUUUCUAUGGGAAGAAAAUGACAGUACCAUAGGAAUAAGGACCGGCUAAUUACGUGCCAGCAGCCGCGGUAAUACGUAAGGUCCGAGCGUUGUCCGGAAUCAUUGGGCGUAAAGGGUACGUAGGCGGGUAAGCAAGUUAGAAGUGAAAUCCUAUAGCUCAACUAUAGUAAGCUUUUAAAACUGCUCAUCUUGAGGUAGGGAAGGGAGAGUGGAAUUCCUGGUGUAGCGGUGAAAUGCGCAGAUAUUAGGAGGGAUACCGGUGGCGAAGGCGACUUGCUGGCCAUAACCUGACGCUGAGGUACGAAAGCGUGGGUAGCAAACAGG